GAUGAACGCUGGCGGCGUGCCUAAUACAUGCAAGUCGAGCGAACAGACGAGACGCUUGCUUCUCUGUCGUUUGCGGCGGACGGGUGUGUAACACGUGGAUCCCCUACCUAUCAUACUGGGAUCACUUCGGGACACCGGCGCUUACCCCGUAUAAUAUUUUGCACCGCAUGGUUCAAAAGUGAAAGACGGUCUUGCUGUCUCUUCUCGCUGCAUACGCGCUGCAUUAGCUAGUUGGUAAGGUAACGGCUUACCAAGGCAACGAUGCAUAGCCGAAGUGAGAGGGGGAUCGCCCACACUAGAACGGAGACAGGGACCAGAGUCCUACGGGAGGCAGCAGAAGGGAAUCUUCCGCAAUGGGCGAAAGCCUGACAGAACAACGGCGCGUGAGAGAUGGAGGUCUUCGGAUCGUAAAACUCUCUUAUUAGUGAAGAACAGAUGUGGAAUGAACUGUACACAGCUUGACGGUACCGAAUCAGAAAGCAACGGCUAACUACGUG
Molecule: ribosomal RNA, 497 nt
Filed under: uncultured bacterium
Lineage: Bacteria
Description: partial 16S ribosomal RNA
Rfam family: Bacterial small subunit ribosomal RNA
Source: RNAcentral